Molecule: ribosomal RNA, 117 nt
Filed under: Lepisosteus oculatus (spotted gar)
Lineage: Eukaryota; Metazoa; Chordata; Actinopteri; Semionotiformes; Lepisosteidae
Source: RNAcentral
GCCAGCAGCCAUAUUACCCUACUGCUCUAAACUGGCUAUCCCCUGAAGCUAAGCAGGGUUGAGCCUGGUCAGUAUCUGGAUGAGAGACCUCCUGGGAAGCUAUGGUUGCAGCUGGGA